CUACGGGGUGCUGCAGUGGGGAAUAUUGGACAAUGGGGGAAACCCUGAUCCAGCAAUGCCGCGUGUGUGAAGAAGGCCUGCGGGUUGUAAAGCACUUUCGGUUGGGAGGACUGCUUCUAGCACUAAUAUUGUUGGAAGUUGACGUUACCUUCAGAAGAAGCACCGGCUAACUCCGUGCCAGCAGCCGCGGUAAUACGGGGGGUGCAAGCGUUAAUCGGAAUUACUGGGCGUAAAGCGCGCGUAGGCGGCUAGAUCAGUCGGGUAUGAAAGCCCCGGGCUUAACCUGGGAACUGCAUCCGAUACUGUCUAGCUGAGUACAGGAGAGGAGAGUGGAAUUCCACAUGUAGCGGUGAAAUGCGUAGAUAUGUGGAGGAACACCAAUGGCGAAGGCAGCUCUCUGGCCUGAUACUGACGCUGAGGUGCGAAAGCGUGGGGAGCAAACAGGAUUAGAUACCCGUGUAGUC
This 464-nucleotide ribosomal RNA is filed under the name uncultured bacterium. RNAcentral's name for it is "partial 16S ribosomal RNA". It matches the Rfam family "Bacterial small subunit ribosomal RNA", at positions 339 to 795 of the family's 1533-position model. The record is from RNAcentral.